This 556-nucleotide long non-coding RNA is filed under the name Homo sapiens (human). RNAcentral describes it as "PROX1 antisense RNA 1". Lineage: Eukaryota; Metazoa; Chordata; Mammalia; Primates; Hominidae. The record is from RNAcentral.
UGCAGAGUGGCCAUAUGGAUUUGAUCCCUAUCCUUCAGAGGUGCUCAGCCUAAGGGAACACGGAUAGUAGAUUAAGCACUGACCAGAUAUAUAGAAGCACUUAGGAACUUUGUUCUACUAUUCUGCACUGAAGGAACUUUCAGAACUUUCCAGUGCUUCAGGUUGGGGUCCGGCUCAAGUUUGUACAUUCCAACUUGUUGUUUGGGCCUUGUUGGACAUAACUGAAGUCUGGAUGGCAGGGUGAAAAUUGGAUAAACAGCCACACUGACUCAGGGGAGAUUUUUUUUUAAUGCAAACAUCUGUUUCUUGAAUUUGGCCAUGGGGUAUAAAUCCUGCCUUCUCUCAGCCUUACAGAGGAAGAAAACCCUUUCCAAGUUUCCUCUGAUACUGGGUUUAUGCCCAAUUAUAGUUUAGGCAUGAAGAAACUGAAGCAUGGAGGAAAAACUUAGCAACUAGCCCAACGUCACACAGGCAAGCCAGCCUUGACAAUGUGCUGAUGGCAACCUAGAACAUAAGCAGAGGAGUAUACAGGACAAGAACUUGAUGGUCUCGGGAA